Molecule: ribosomal RNA, 2481 nt
Filed under: Triticum aestivum (bread wheat)
Lineage: Eukaryota; Viridiplantae; Streptophyta; Magnoliopsida; Poales; Poaceae
Description: partial small subunit ribosomal RNA
Source: RNAcentral
AUGGAUGAAAUAAAAGGUAUCACUAAUGAUUUUUUCAAGAAUCUUUAUUCCUGUGAUUCUGUGGUUAAUCCGUCCCGUAUCAUUUCUCUUGUGAAACCAUUGGUGACUGAUCAAAUGAAUGAGGAUCUUUGUAAGCCUUUUUCUGAGCAAGAAAUCAGCGAUGCCCUAUUCCAAAUAGGGCCGUUAAAGGCCCCGGGGCCAGAUGGAUUUUCUGCCAGGUUUUUUCAAAGAAAUUGGGGGCUGCUUAAGGAGGAUAUUGUUCGUGCCAUCCAGCAAUUUUUUAUUUCUGGAACUAUGCCUGAAGGGAUAAAUGAUACAACUAUUGUUCUUAUUCCUAAGGUGAAGAAUCCUCAGUCCAUAAAAGACUUCCGUCCAAUCAGUCUUUGUAACGUGAUUUAUAAGAUUAUCUCUAAGUGCCUGGUCAACAGACUAAGACCUCUGCUAGAUGGUAUGAUUUCUCCUACCCAAAGUGCAUUCAUCCCUGGAAGAUCAAUAUCUGAUAAUGCACUUAUCGCGUUUGAAUGUACAUGCUCAAUAUGUGGUAUUGAUGAUGAGUGUAUUUUCCAUGCUUUGGUGGUUUGUCCCAAGGCUCGUGCGUUCCGCAUGGCUCUGAAGGAAGUUUGGAAAUUACCAGCGGAGGAGACCUUCAAAUAUUCUGGACCGGAUUGGUUCCUUAUUCUAUUGGACCAGUUAACUACGCCUGUUCGUGAGCAAACUAUAUUCAUGUUUUGGAGAGCUUGGCACUUGAGGAAUGAUUUGAUCUUUGGUAAGGGAAUGGAAUCCAUCUCAGCCUCGGUGGAGAUAUGCAGUAAGGGGAAGCAAGUGGAGUUGGAUCUUCAGCCAACCAAUGACAUUGAGAGGCAGGCCAUUGAAGCUGCGAGCGUGGGGGUGGUUGUUAGAAAUCACCGUGGACAAGUGAUCCUAUCCUCUUGGGAUUAUAUUGGUACUUGCUACAGCGUUGAGGAAGCGGAACUUAGAGCGUCCUUGUCCCGCCUAUAUAUUGGUAUGACUCUAGACAUGCCCGUCAUUUUGGAAACUGAUUGUUCGUUUGUAGCCUCCGUUUUUGGUAAAGAAUAUGUGGACAGAUCAUCCCUUGUUGAUCUAAAGAAGGAAGCUGUAGAUGUCUCAAAGUUGUUGGUGAAUUUACAGAUUUCUAAGAUCAACAGGAAGGCUAAUAUGGUGGCUCAUGAGAUUGCAAAGUUUAGUUUUGAUAAUAGUUCUGAUGAUAUUAUGUUUUAUUCUGUUCCGCCCUGCGUGGCAAAGUUUGUAACGAAUGAUUUUGUUGAUUUCAUCUACGGAGGCAAGCCAUCGUCGCUGGCGAGCAUCAUCAAGGUCACUAGAGGGUUGUGCUUUUUGGAUCUGCCUAACAACGCGGUGCUCGGGAGGAGAAGUUCUGUGGUGCCAUGGUGGGGGCGAGGAAUUGCAACAAUGCGUGGCGGUGGGAGGAGUGGCCAGCGGUGGCGGCCCCACGUCUACGCAAGAAGGAGCAGGGGCGCAGCAAACUCCGGACCCCAACUCGGGAAAACGCGGGUUUCCACCUCGCGGCUGCGGUGCCCUGCAUAUAAGCGGAAGCGGUUGGUGCGGAGACAUUUCAUCCCGCGAUUUCUCCUCACCAACCACCUCUCCUCUCUCCCCUCAUGCCGCCGCCGCCCGCCGACCAAGAUCCCGGCGAAAGCAGCCGGCAGGAGCAAGCCGGAAGUCCGCCACACGCACGAGGCCUCCCCUCCCUUUCCCCAGCGUCGGCUGGCCACCGGAUUUGCAGAUCUACGACACUUCAUUGCGGGCCGCCGGAUUUGGCUUUUUCCGGCCGCCGCUUGCUGCCCCAAGCGAUGUAGUGGUCGGGGAGCCUCUCCCGCAGCCCAGGCAAGGACGCAUCGCCGCAUGCAGGUACGGGUUCAUCCGCCUGCCGCCGCCGAAGAGUGCGACGACUGCACGCGGAAAGUGCUGCGGCUCACUUCGGGCACGCCGAAGCACCUCGGAUGGGUGUUCUUCAAAUGCGAAAACAACGGGGAUUCUAGGCUAGCUGUUGUCGUGCAGAACCUCCCGCUGGAGUGGACAACUAGAGAGACUGUAUUGAUUGCUCGUUCGAUACUCCCGAGGGGACACAUAGGCUCUAGGGACAUUCCUGAGGGCACAUAUGCUCCCUAUGAGUACAUGAACAUGAUGAUGCAACAACGAAGCGGAGAGGAGGAGGGAUGUGGCAAUGCUCAUCUUUUCGGUGGCGAGAUUCUUGAAUUUGUGCCGUGCCGGUUUUUUGGUGGUUUGGAACGUGUGAUCAGUGGGGCGCUCGCACGAAUGUUUGGCUUGGGUUGUGCUGACGUGUGCGGGCUCGUGAUACUCUUGAGCAUCCCAGACCGGGAAAAUUGCUUCUGUUGUUGCAGCUCCGAGCCAGUCUACCCAAACCGGAAAACUUCCCCACGGCCAAAAAGCCGAAGAGCAUCCGAUUCCGGGCACGCACGGAAAACUUUGGAUUCGCUGUGA